CCUACGGGAGGCAGCAGUGAGGAAUAUUGGUCAAUGGGCGCGAGACUGAACCAGCCAAGUAGCGUGCAGGAUGACUGCCCUACGGGUUGUAAACUUCUUUUAUACAGGAAUAAAGUGCGGCACGUGUGCCUUUUUGUAUGUACCUUAUGAAUAAGGAUCGGCUAAUUCCGUGCCAGCAGCCGCGGUAAUACGGAGGAUCCGAGCGUUAUCCGGAUUUAUUGGGUUUAAAGGGAGCGUAGAUGGGUUGUUAAGUCAGGUGUGAAAGUUUGCGGCUCAACCGUGACAUUGCAAUGGAUACUGGCAGUCUUGAGUACAGGUGAGGUAGGCGGAAUUCGUGGUGUAGCGGUGAAAUGCUUAGAUAUCACGAAGAACUCCGAUUGCGAAGGCAGCUUACGAAACUGCCACUGACGUUGAUGCUCGAAGGUGUGGGUAUCGAACAGGAUUAGAUACCCUUGUAGUC
Molecule: ribosomal RNA, 460 nt
Filed under: uncultured bacterium
Lineage: Bacteria
Description: partial 16S ribosomal RNA
Rfam family: Bacterial small subunit ribosomal RNA
Source: RNAcentral